CCUGCAUUGGCUCAGAGCGUAAAGCGUCUGCCUGGAAUGCAGGAGACCUGGGUUUGAUCCCUGGGUCAGGA
This 71-nucleotide transfer RNA is filed under the name Bos taurus (domestic cattle). It matches the Rfam family "tRNA". Rfam says of the family: Transfer RNA (tRNA) molecules are approximately 80 nucleotides in length. Their secondary structure includes four short double-helical elements and three loops (D, anti-codon, and T loops). RNAcentral also lists the same sequence under 3 other names. Lineage: Eukaryota; Metazoa; Chordata; Mammalia; Artiodactyla; Bovidae. The record is from Rfam by way of RNAcentral.